ACGGCUCUAGCCCUGAAAAUGGAUGGCGCUGAAGCGUUGUGCCUAUACUCUACCGCCGGGGCAAGGCUAGGGUGCCCGCACGUCCCGCGUCGGGGGCGCCACCGCCGGGCCUAACCAGCCCGCGCGCAAGGCGCAGGAGCCCUGUUAAGCCCCGGUGAGUAGGAGGGUCGCGACGGUGAGCGCAGAAGGGUUGGGCGCGAGCCUGCCUGGAGCCGCCGUCGGCGCAGAUCUUGGUAGUAGUAGCAAAUACUCUAGCGAGACCCUGGAGGGCUGAUGUGGAGAAGGGUUUCGUGUGAACAGCCGUUGCACACGAGUCAGUCGAUCCUAAGCCCUAGGGGAAACCCGAUGCGGAUGCCGGCCUCAAAACAACAUAAUGAGAUUCACUAUGGCCGCGCAUCGGGCGAAAGGGAAUCCGGUCCCCAUUCCGGAACCCGGUCGCGGAACCGAUUCACGUCGGGCCCUGCGUCGAAAGGCGCGAAGCUCGUCGGGGUAACCCAACAUGACCCGGAGAAGCCGUCGGGAGGUCUGGGAAGAGUUUUCUUUUCUGUUUGAGCGUUCGGGUUCCCUGGAAUUGCCUAGCGCAGAGAGAGGGAAUGGAGCGCGUAGAGCACCGCAGUUGCGGCGGUGUCCAGACAUGCCCUUCGGACCGUGAAAAUCCGGGGACGGGCCACGUGGAGGUGUCGCGCCGGCUCGUACCCAUAUCCGCAGCAGGUCUCCAAGGUGAAGAGCCUCUAGUCGAUAGAAGAAUGUAGGUAAGGGAAGUCGGAACUUGGAUCCUAACUUCGGAAGGGGGGGUGUUUGCCAUAAAUGGUUAGU
RNAcentral lists this ribosomal RNA (816 nucleotides) under Mitius sp. u ZY-2021. Its description in RNAcentral is "partial large subunit ribosomal RNA". It matches the Rfam family "Eukaryotic large subunit ribosomal RNA", at positions 1300 to 1969 of the family's 3401-position model. Lineage: Eukaryota; Metazoa; Arthropoda; Insecta; Orthoptera; Gryllidae. The record is from RNAcentral.